RNAcentral lists this long non-coding RNA (408 nucleotides) under Phoenix dactylifera (date palm). RNAcentral describes it as "long non-coding RNA (PDAC_LNC003301)". Lineage: Eukaryota; Viridiplantae; Streptophyta; Magnoliopsida; Arecales; Arecaceae. The record is from RNAcentral.
ACCAACGUGUGAAAGGGUUUGAUUGUGAGCCCGGAAAAACAAUCGGAGUUGGUUCUAGUCGGUGAGCCUCGAAAAACCGACCGAGUUCGUUGUGAGCUCGUAAAACAACAAGUUUGGUUGUGAGCUUGCAAAACAACCGGCUGUAAUCCAAGGGGGUUAUAGUAAAUUCCCAAGAGAAACUUGGGGAGUGGACGUAGGAGCAAGGAGUAGCUCCGAACCACUAUAAAACUCUGUGUUUGCAUUGGAUUGUCUCUUCUCUUCUUCCUCUCACAUCACUCACAGCACUUAGCAUUAAUUAAAUAACUUGCAAUAGUUUUUAAUUAAUCAUCCAUAACGUUUUAAUUAUCCAAAUUAAUUUAAAACCCAAUUCACCCCUCCCUCUUGGGUUGUCUAUCUGGGCAACACUAA